Molecule: ribosomal RNA, 269 nt
Filed under: uncultured bacterium
Lineage: Bacteria
Description: partial 16S ribosomal RNA
Rfam family: Bacterial small subunit ribosomal RNA
Source: RNAcentral
AGAUACCCUGGUAGUCCAUGCCGUAAACGGUGGGCGCUAGGUGUGAGGGUCUUUUCACGACUUUCGUGCCGUAGCUAACGCAUUAAGCGCCCCGCCUGGGGAGGUACGGCCGCAAGGCUAAAACUCAAAGGAAUUGACGGGGGCCCGGCACAAGCGGCGGAGCGAUGUGGGAUUUAAAUUACGAUGCAAACGCGAAGAACCUUACCAGGCCUUGACAUGCAGAGAACUUUCCAGAGAGUCGUGGAGCGAAAGGCACGACAGGGAUAGGG